This is a long non-coding RNA of Mytilus californianus (California mussel), 600 nucleotides long. RefSeq lists it as uncharacterized. The transcript is spliced from 2 exons. The record is from RefSeq and is a predicted model, not a curated record. NCBI's taxonomy places the organism in Eukaryota, Metazoa, Mollusca, Bivalvia, Mytilida, Mytilidae.
UGUAAUUUUAAAAAAUCGUAAUUGAUAUACGGACUCGACUGAAUCUUGUUUUUUUGUCCUCGGCAAAACUUUGGCAAAACAAAAUCUGUAUUUGAAUAGUUUGUAGGAGUAAAUAUCACAAAAAGUUGAAGACGCUACUUCUUUAAAUUAUAUGUAUGCAGUGUUAUAAUUAAACAUUAGGAUAUCAUGGAAAAGUGAAAAAGAUAUAUUUUAAACAAAAUGAAAUGGCAUGUAUAUGUGAAAAAAGGGGGUAAAAUGUGAAAAAAAUAUCAUACGGAAAAAGUCUAUACAAAUUUGCAGACAGAUUCGUGUAUAAAUUACUUGAAGUAGAGUUUCUUUUUAAUAUACAUUUUUACAUUCUCAUAUAAAUUUAUAGAUCUGGUAUUUGAGAACUACAGAAGACAAAUUAAAGCAGAGUGCAAAAGGAAUUUUAAUAAUCAUUGAAAAUAUUCUGGCUUCAAAAUGCAUGGAAAUGGAGAUGGGACAAAAUGCAUUCUACCAUUUGAUAGCCCAGAAUGAAUUACUUUAAAAGGCUAACAAGAAGAGGAGGCUCGCAGUAGAAGAUGCAGACUCAGAAUAAUUAAUAAAAUGUUAAAAUGC